RNAcentral lists this long non-coding RNA (319 nucleotides) under Sinocyclocheilus anshuiensis. RNAcentral's name for it is "lncRNA (ENSSANG00000026634.1)". Lineage: Eukaryota; Metazoa; Chordata; Actinopteri; Cypriniformes; Cyprinidae. The record is from RNAcentral.
CCCAGACUAACAUUAAACACAGUCUUUACCUUCCUGAAACCAGAGAGCAUCUGUACCUCUUCCUGAAAGAGAAGUCUGGUUACAGCUGUCUGCCGAGAGGUGGGGCGUCGUCAGGGAAACCAGCUUCAUUAGGGGUGUAAUUAACAUCCGUGCUAGACAAUGGAUGCCAUGGUGAUGGACUCACUUUCGGUGUUCUAAGGGAUGACGUUAUGCAGACACCGCAAGGCUGGCACAGAUUCAAAGACGCAAAAAGAAUUGGGUACAUUAGUCUUUGACAGGUAUGAAUGGCCUAAAUAAACAGUAAAGAGUUGCGAGCAGG